UGCCCAGUGACUAGAGGUUAAACGGCCGCGGUAUCUUGACCGUGCGAAGGUAGCAUAAUCAUUUGUCUCCUAAAUAGAGACUAGUAUGAAUGGCAAGACGGAACUAAACUGUCUCUUUUUCACAACCCCGAAUUCACUUCCUUGUGAAGAGGCAAGGAUAAAAUCGUUAGACGAGAAGACCCUGUCGAGCUUAUAGCAAAGUUUAGCCUCUACCAUAUUUAAGCUGCCCUAAUUUUGAUGAUAGGCAAAUAAUUUUGGGGGAUAACCAAAGCUUUGGUGGGGCAACCGCGGAGCAGAAAACCUCCCUAACAUAAACAUUAAGUAAGAACAACAUUCUAAAUCAAAAUGAA
This 350-nucleotide ribosomal RNA is filed under the name Sterechinus neumayeri. RNAcentral describes it as "partial large subunit ribosomal RNA". It matches the Rfam family "Archaeal large subunit ribosomal RNA", at positions 1952 to 2426 of the family's 2987-position model. Lineage: Eukaryota; Metazoa; Echinodermata; Echinoidea; Camarodonta; Echinidae. The record is from RNAcentral.